Non-coding RNA from Photobacterium profundum SS9, 165 nucleotides. The record is from Rfam. Lineage: Bacteria; Pseudomonadati; Pseudomonadota; Gammaproteobacteria; Vibrionales; Vibrionaceae.
UUUUCAGUGAGGGAUGAUCUAAAGGAAGUCGCUAGCAAAACUGCGAACUGAUGAACAAGAGCAUCAUAUGAGGCGUAGGUCAGAGGCAAGUUGGCACAAGACAACGAAGCCAAGUGAUUUAAUGAUCACCGUAAAUGAUGCCGUUGUGUAGGGGCUGAGGGUUAG